ACGGAGGAUCCAAGCGUUAUCCGGAAUCAUUGGGUUUAAAGGGUCCGUAGGCGGUUUGGUAAGUCAGUGGUGAAAGCCCAUCGCUCAACGGUGGAACGGCCAUUGAUACUGCCAGACUUGAAUUACUGGGAAGUAACUAGAAUAUGUAGUGUAGCGGUGAAAUGCUUAGAGAUUACAUGGAAUACCAAUUGCGAAGGCAGGUUACUACCAGUGGAUUGACGCUGAUGGACGAAAGCGUGGGUAGCGAACAGGAUUAGAUACCCUGGUAGUCCACGCCGUAAACGAUGGAUACUAGCUGUUGGAGGUAACUUCAGUGGCUAAGCGAAAGUGAUAAGUAUCCCACCUGGGGAGUACGAACGCAAGUUUG
Molecule: ribosomal RNA, 367 nt
Filed under: uncultured bacterium
Lineage: Bacteria
Description: bacterial SSU rRNA
Rfam family: Bacterial small subunit ribosomal RNA
Source: RNAcentral